Caenorhabditis elegans is the source of this 70-nucleotide non-coding RNA. The record is from Ensembl. Lineage: Eukaryota; Metazoa; Nematoda; Chromadorea; Rhabditida; Rhabditidae.
UACAAUAAAACCAGUCAGAUUUAAAAAAUCAUUUAAAAAAUUAGUGUCCUAUUUCCUGGAGCCGAAAAAA